RNAcentral lists this ribosomal RNA (590 nucleotides) under Trichoderma harzianum. RNAcentral describes it as "eukaryotic LSU rRNA". The stretch from base 233 to 386 matches the Rfam family "5.8S ribosomal RNA". Lineage: Eukaryota; Fungi; Ascomycota; Sordariomycetes; Hypocreales; Hypocreaceae. The record is from RNAcentral.
UUCUGUAGGUGAACCUGCGGAGGGAUCAUUACCGAGUUUACAACUCCCAAACCCAAUGUGAACGUUACCAAACUGUUGCCUCGGCGGGAUCUCUGCCCCGGGUGCGUCGCAGCCCCGGACCAAGGCGCCCGCCGGAGGACCAACCAAAACUCUUAUUGUAUACCCCCUCGCGGGUUUUUUUAUAAUCUGAGCCUUCUCGGCGCCUCUCGUAGGCGUUUCGAAAAUGAAUCAAAACUUUCAACAACGGAUCUCUUGGUUCUGGCAUCGAUGAAGAACGCAGCGAAAUGCGAUAAGUAAUGUGAAUUGCAGAAUUCAGUGAAUCAUCGAAUCUUUGAACGCACAUUGCGCCCGCCAGUAUUCUGGCGGGCAUGCCUGUCCGAGCGUCAUUUCAACCCUCGAACCCCUCCGGGGGGUCGGCGUUGGGGAUCGGCCCUGCCUUGGCGGUGGCCGUCUCCGAAAUACAGUGGCGGUCUCGCCGCAGCCUCUCCUGCGCAGUAGUUUGCACACUCGCAUCGGGAGCGCGGCGCGUCCACAGCCGUUAAACACCCAACUUCUGAAUAUGUGACCUCGGAUCAGGUAGGAAUACCCGC